Triticum aestivum (bread wheat) is the source of this 89-nucleotide non-coding RNA. The record is from Rfam. Lineage: Eukaryota; Viridiplantae; Streptophyta; Magnoliopsida; Poales; Poaceae.
UGGUUUAAUAGGUGAUGAAACUCUUUCAGCAAACAGUUCUGCUUCUGAGAAUUCAUGACUGACAAACCUGUUAUAUUCAUCUUGAGCCA